CGGGGUGUAGCACAGCUGGUAGUGCGUAUGGUUCGGGACCAUAAGGCAGGGAGUUCGAGUCUCCCCACUCCGACCA
This 76-nucleotide transfer RNA is filed under the name Clostridiales bacterium. RNAcentral's name for it is "tRNA-Pro". It matches the Rfam family "tRNA". Rfam says of the family: Transfer RNA (tRNA) molecules are approximately 80 nucleotides in length. Lineage: Bacteria; Bacillati; Bacillota; Clostridia; Eubacteriales. The record is from RNAcentral.